UGUGUAGGCGGUUGCUUAAGUUUGGUGUGAAAUCUCCCGGCUCAACUGGGAGGGUGCGCCGAAUACUGAGUGACUCGAGUGCGGGAGAGGAGAGUGGAAUUCCUGGUGUAGCGGUGAAAUGCGUAGAUAUCAGGAGGAACACCGGUGGUGUAGACGGCUCUCUGGACCGUAACUGACGCUGAGACACGAAAGCGUGGGUAGCAAACAGGAUUAGAUACCCUGGUAGUCCACGCCCUAAACGAUGCAUAUUUGGUGUGGGCGGUUCAGUCUGUCCGUGCCGGAGCUAACGCGUUAAAUAUGCCGCCUGGGGAGUACAGUCGCAAGGCUGAA
This 330-nucleotide ribosomal RNA is filed under the name uncultured bacterium. Its description in RNAcentral is "bacterial SSU rRNA". It matches the Rfam family "Bacterial small subunit ribosomal RNA", at positions 568 to 898 of the family's 1533-position model. The record is from RNAcentral.